This 253-nucleotide ribosomal RNA is filed under the name uncultured bacterium. RNAcentral's name for it is "partial 16S ribosomal RNA". It matches the Rfam family "Bacterial small subunit ribosomal RNA", at positions 524 to 776 of the family's 1533-position model. The record is from RNAcentral.
UACGAAGGGGGCUAGCGUUGCUCGGAAUCACUGGGCGUAAAGCGCACGUAGGCGGAUCUUUAAGUCGGGGGUGAAAUCCCGGGGCUCAACCCCGGAACUGCCUUCGAUACUGAGGAUCUUGAGUCCGGGAGAGGUGAGUGGAACUGCGAGUGUAGAGGUGAAAUUCGUAGAUAUUCGCAAGAACACCAGUGGCGAAGGCGGCUCACUGGCCCGGUACUGACGCUGAGGUGCGAAAGCGUGGGGAGCAAACAGG